UACAAUGGCGUAAACAAAGGGAGGCGAAGCCGCGAGGUGGAGCAAAUCCCAAAAAUAACGUCUCAGUUCGGAUUGUAGUCUGCAACUCGACUACAUGAAGCUGGAAUCGCUAGUAAUCGCGAAUCAGAAUGUCGCGGUGAAUACGUUCCCGGGUCUUGUACACACCGCCCGUCACACCAUGGGAGUCAGCAACGCCCGAAGCCGGUGACCCAACCGAAAGGAGGGAGCCGUCGAAGGUGGGGCCGAUAACUGGGGUGAAGUCGUAACAAGGUACC
This 275-nucleotide ribosomal RNA is filed under the name uncultured bacterium. RNAcentral's name for it is "partial 16S ribosomal RNA". It matches the Rfam family "Bacterial small subunit ribosomal RNA", at positions 1226 to 1500 of the family's 1533-position model. The record is from RNAcentral.